This 29-nucleotide small RNA is filed under the name Bombyx mori (domestic silkworm). RNAcentral describes it as "ovarian small RNA-37113". The record is from RNAcentral. Lineage: Eukaryota; Metazoa; Arthropoda; Insecta; Lepidoptera; Bombycidae.
UUCCACAGUGCCAUGCUGCUGGCGAAAGC